GCAAGAAGAGAAGGGGGCGGCGCCUUACAGAGAGAACAAUCUGGAAUUCAUGGUGACAGACGGAGCUGCUCUGAAAACGCCCCACGACCAGAGAAGAGCAUGCAGGCCGACCCAGAGCAGGACAAGCUGCUUACACACAGCCACGACACCAACCCAGCAGUCCACAUCACAAACUACAGCAUGGAGAAUGGCAGAAGGCAGGUGGGACCAAUGGGGCAGAUGGGGCAUGAGAGAAGGGAGGAACCCAAUGAGCCGCCUGAGGAGGCUUCCUGGGGAGAACCGCUGACCGGUCAGAGGGGACCCUCCUGGCUCCACAUAUCCCCCGUCAGCAGUGGGUCAGAUGCAGGCCUGGUGGCAUGGGCAAGCAUUGGGUGGCAUUACACACCCACAGACAUGGACUGGAACCUGUUUUUUUUUUUUUUUUUAACCUCAAAGUGGACAACUUUCUAUUAUUUGUACUCUCGUACUUCUUGUAUUUGUGCCUGUUGUCACAUGCACGUUUCUCAGUCUUUCCAAUUGUUUCAACCAUGGCUAACAUGUUGUAAUGCGUUUUUCCGAGCCUCCUUUAAACGCAACAUGAGUGCCGGUUUUACAGCUGUGCAGCAGUGACAGAGACCUGCUGCUGCUGUGCAGAGCAGCACAGGUGUGUGUUAGAAUCAUGGCAACAAAAGGCAAAUAUCUUUGCACAGCACUAAUAGAGUGAGUCAAGUAAUGCUGUUGUACGCAAAUAAUGUUAGCUAAAUGAUGACUAGCUAAUGUCAAUAUAAGCUUGUUAACAAAAUUAGGCUACUGAUUUUGUCAUCUAUGUUCAAAAGUGGGUAGUACUGGUUACAUUUACUUGAGCAGCGUUUUGGGCAAAACAGUACUUAUGAGUAGUUUUACUGAACUGUAUUUUUUAUCUUUAUGCUUGAG
Molecule: long non-coding RNA, 912 nt
Organism: Poecilia latipinna (sailfin molly)
Lineage: Eukaryota; Metazoa; Chordata; Actinopteri; Cyprinodontiformes; Poeciliidae
Exons: 2
Source: RefSeq, a predicted model, not a curated record